Carassius auratus (goldfish) is the source of this 1622-nucleotide long non-coding RNA. RefSeq lists it as uncharacterized. The transcript has 4 exons. The record is from RefSeq and is a predicted model, not a curated record. NCBI's taxonomy places the organism in Eukaryota, Metazoa, Chordata, Actinopteri, Cypriniformes, Cyprinidae.
CAACCUGUCUGACAAGAUGUAAAUCUUCUAAAUGGCUGUGCGUACUAACUGCCAUUGUUAAUCUUGCAGAGACGGCGAGCUUGAGCGCGGAGUUCUUUGUCGUGAGUGAGCAGGAGUGCUGAAUUCGCCAGUAUGAACCCGAGAAAGGAUAAGAUUUAGAAAGACAAUGGACUGCGCAGACACAAAGGAAUGACAGAAGAAGAGAGAAGAAGCUGGACUGAGGACAGAUAGGAAGCAAAGUGGGAGAGAGAGAGGAUUGUGGAAGGUCCGAAAGCCAGGACUCGAACUCGGGACCCCUGAAGAGCAACAACGCUAUAUGUUGGCACACUACCCAUGAGGACUUCGGCACUGACGUGUCGCUGGAUUUUGAUCUUUUUGAUUCACAAGACAUUCAUUUAUGGACUGGAGUUGUGUGGAUUACUUGUGGAUUAUUGUGAUGUUUUUUAUCAACUGUUGGAACUCUCAUUUGACGGAACCCAUUCACUGCUGAGGAUCCAUUGGUGAACAAGUGAUGCAAUGCUAAAAUUUGCCAAAUCUGUUCUGAUUAAGAAAAAACUCAGCUAUGUCAUGGAUGGUAUGAGGGCAAGUAAACUUUCAGCAAAUUUACAUUUUUAGGUGAACCAUUCCUUUAAGAAUUAAUCUACAUUAGUCACUAUUGCCAAAUACAACCAUACAACAACUAAUGUAAAGGCCAUAUUUAGCAAUCAAAAUUAAUAACAGUUACAAAUAACCAACAAUUACUGCAAAGAGGUAUUAGACAAAAUUUGUUUUAAAUGCAAUGUUACAAAGGGCUAAUAGGCUUCCCAACAAUGCCCAUGCCUCCAAUCAGCAAGACAAACAUGGAAACCCAAACUGACUACAACUGGUCACAAAAGAUCACAUCAACCAAACCACUCAGAACAAUCUAUUUCCCUUUUACUAAACCCCAGGCAAUCUUACAAGAAUGAGGGAAAUUCCUUGUUAUGCCUGUUUUAAUAGCCUGGGUAUAAAUAGAGGGUAAUUUAGUCAUAUCAGAGAAGAGAAAGUAGAUUUUGAGUAGUAGCUCAACUUAACACACUCUGACAAAAUGAAUGAGAUGUAUAGGUCUGGAGGACGGCUUGACCCAGGGCAAGGUUAUUGACAUUGGCAGAGUCCAAAAAGUUCCCCAUGUUUGCAUUAACAGAUAUUUUUACUGUAAUCAGAAGGCAUCAAUCACAAAUCGCCAACCACAGGAACAGUUCCUCUACAGAGAUUUGGCAUAUUUACCCCACUACCAUUUCCCCCUGCUUUUGUUUAUGUUUCCAAGACACAGGGAUGAAAUAUCAUUUAAUACAUCCCAUUAAAUACGACAAGCCCUAAAUUGCCAAAGGGACUGUUUGGCAUUGAGAGUCUGAGAUCUCAUCAAUGAAGUCUCUCUGUGGCUGCGCAUGGACAAAAUGAGGUUUCUGUAGGUUUUGAAUGGCUGUGCAUGCUGCUGACCGCUGGCUGACCAAGUGCUCUUUGAACAUCAGUAAAUCAAUGGGCAGCAUUCACAAGGAAAGCAACCAGUGACUUCUGGAAAAGGAAGUUGAUUUGAAAACCUGAAGUUGUUUGAAGGGUCAUCAUAAGAAGAAUCCACAAACUAGAUCUGAUGUCCAAGUCAG